CCUUAGUCUUUUUCCCAAAAUCGGUUCCCCCACAGAAAUCCCAAAAUUUCACCUAAAAUCUCUUGUUUUUUUUCCCCUUUCUUUUUCCCAAAAUCGGUUCCCCCCUCGAAAUCUCAAAAUACCUGAAAUCUCUUCUUCUAUUUUUUCCCCAUUUUAUUUUUCCCUAACCAUUUCUCCCCUACCCCGAUUCCUUUUAUUUUUGCCCCCAAUUUCCCCAAAUCGGUAGCCCUCUGCAUCUUCGUCGGCAACCCAUUGCUGCAUCUCCGUCGGUAGCCCUCUGCUGCUUCUCCUUGUAAGUUUAUUAAGUGUAAUAAAUUACUAUUAUUUUAGUUAUAUUUAAUUAUUUGCCCUAAUCUGAUUCGUUCCCCCUUUGUUCUUUAAAUUUAUUUAAAACGCUAUUCAUCACUUGGAUUUGAUUUCGAUUGCUCCGAUCUACAAAUUUUUUUUUCAUUUUUUCUUAUCAUCUUCUUUUAUAAAAGGCAAUAUAUGAAGUUCUUGGAUUUUGUUACCAUUUUUUUUUUGUUAGUUUACAGUUGAAAUUAACCUUCUUCUUUUUUUUAGAAUUACCUUCCAUCGUUCAUUUCCCACUUUGUAUUGUAUAUUAAGACCCGUUGUACAUUCUUUUAUCAUUGGACGUGUCAGUUUGCACCAUUUGGUAAUUUCUUUUUCUUUUUUUUUCUUUUGACAUUUCUAGUAACUUUGGUGGUAAAAUUAUUAGACGUUUGAUUUUACUUCUUUCUAUUAGAUAUACGAGAUAUUGGAUAAUGCUGUUGAUGAGGCUUAAGUAAGUUUUGCAGCCCAUAGGAGUAAGUUUUGAGGGGAAGACUGAUGUUAUGAAAAAGAUUAAGUUUCCACAGAUGGAGAAAAAAUCUGCGAUUAAAUUGUUCAAAGACAAGCAAAGAGGCAGCACUAGCUUGUUCCAUAAGAGCAAUUUUGGAAAAUGAAAAGUUCAGUCUCUAAUAUUUUAGCUUUAUAGGUUCUAUUAUAUGUUUGCGCCUAUGAGCAUAUAAACUUAUGAUAGUUUUGCAAAUGGUGCUAAAAGGUGGUGGAUCUGUAUCCUAAUGCUACUUUAUUGAUGGUGUCUAUUAUUAGUUGCGUAUUUUGAUUAGUCUUGUUCUAUGCAAUUGUGUGGGGUUGGUGCCAGACUACAUUGUUCUGAUAUGUAAGGAAGAUGAUAAAUAUUGAUGGGUGGAGAUUGGACUGAUAAUUGUACCCUUUCUCUGAUCUAUUGCAUACCUUUUUACAUGAAAGUUCACUUGCACGAGUACAUACUGAUAUAACAUGCAAUUUCAGGAGAAAGCGUUAGCUGCGGCUGAGAGUAGACCUUUGCCUUCCUUGUAUAGCAGUGCUGACAUUCGUUCCCUGAAAAUGGAUGAUUUUAAAUAUGCACAUGAGCAGGUAACAUGGUCAUAAAUCAUUUAUAUAUUUAGAUGCUAUUGAAUAAAAAAAUCUAGCAAUUUGGAGUGCUAUAUACUAUAAAUUAUGAUGUCUGAAUGGUAAAUAGAUCAAGUUCAAAUGCCGAAAUUUAUUAAGUUUGAAAGUUGGAAACUUAAAGAGUUACAUGUUGUAAACCAUGUUAUCUGACUGCUAAAACUUUAGGCAUUUAAAUGCUGCAAAUUAUCAUGUUUGAAGUUGGUAUUUGGAUAACUAAAUAUUUUUUUUUUUGGAUAAAUGAAUUUAGCUUGACAAACUUGAUCAACAGCUCGUUUGGAGCUUGGUAUUCUCCUAAAUACUUAUACCCUUCCUUUCAUUUGAAAUUAAUGUAUGUGCUAUUUAGGAUAAAAGAAAAACUGAAGAGAUUAAAUGUUGAGUUAAUUGUUGAUGACCAUUGUUAAGAAUGCUCAAUUUUAAGGAUGAAAUUGUUAAACUGAAUAUGCUUAAAUUUGUUGAGGAGAUGAACUGCUACUGGUUGAAAUAAUAGGGAAUUAUGAGAGGUUAAAUGCCAACUUUGGCCUCUUAAUUUCUCUGUUUAAAGAUGUUUUAAACUUGUUAAAAAUGCAACAAUUGCAUAUGUUAUUUAUUUAAUUAAAUAAAUGAUACUGAGUUCUUUACCUUUUCUUCCUUGGUUGUUUUUCUGCAUCUUUAUGCUGGUAUUAGUGAUGGAAUUAAGUGAAAUUUUAGUGAAAUUUGCAGCUGUCGAGGGAGCUACUGAAGCAUGCAGUUUGCGUGCAUGCUGUCUAAUUUCUUACCAAUUUAGGUGGUCUGAUCGAUGGUUGUUUAUUGUUGUCCAAAUAAGUAUUAAAGAAUAUCAUCCAAGUGAUCAAGAAAUUAAAAUGGUCUGAAAAAUGUGAAACUAAAUUGUUAAAUGUUAACUAUUGAUGUCCAAAUGGAUAUGAAUUUAUGAUGUUAGUAAGCUGAAAAUUUAGGUGUUAAAUGCUGCAAUUUAUGGUGUCUGAAAGUUGUGAUUUAUGAUAUUCGAAUGAUGUAUUUUAAGUUGUUCGAAUAUGUUAAAGAGUUGAUUUAAUAUAAUGACUAAUGGUUGUUUAUUGUUGUUCAAAGCAUGAUGAAAUAAACAUGUUAGGCGUGGUUUAAUACAUGCCUUGCUGAUCUGUAAGGUUGUCCAAAACAAGACAAAAUUUAGUUGUCUUUAAGAUGUUUGAAUGUGGUUGUUCGAAUGGUUCUUCAAAUUUUCCAAAUGUGUCUUUAAGGUGCUUGAAAAUGUCAUAUUAAUGUUGUCGAUAUAUGAUUUUGAGUGUUGGAAAUUUGCAGCAUUUAAUUUCCUAUUUGAAGUUGAUUGAACCAUACUAUAAAUGCAAAACAUGUAUAUGUUGUUCACAUGCUAAAUUAACCAUUAGUGAGCUUAAAAUUGAUCUAUUCGAAUGUGUUAAAUUCAUUGUUCAAUUUGAUGUUAUUUAAGCUAAUUUAUUAAUGUUAUAUGUGAUGUUAAUGUUGACUUGUUAAUUGCAUAUUUUAUUAUAAAUCUGAUUUGGGGUUUUGAAUUUAGAAGAACCUUAUCUUAGAUAAGUUAUCUAAUUUCAUAAUAAUUGGAAUCUGAUUCUGUUAUUUUGGUUGGUUCAUGUCUUCCUAUGUCAUCCAUUAAGAUUUGUUUCUUUUUUUCUCAGAACCGGUAUGUUAUUCAUUUGCCUUCUUAUGCUGGGCUAACAAGUUAUUCAAGCACUUAACUACAAUCCUGGUGAUUAUCAGAUAGCUGGAGGUCACCGAAGCAGCAGUUACACUCAUCAGACUAUCACAUGGAAUGGGAGCAAUUAUGCAAAUUAUACUACUCAGCAAUUAUACUACCAUUGUUGCAGGUUUGAGUUUUUGUUGGAUGCAUGGUCCAGAAUUAGCUGAAUUCAUGCAUGGUGACAACUUGUUUGAGCUAACUGUUGAUCUUAAAGUGUGCAUUCUAUUAUUAUUUUGUUCUAUUUGUAUUUUGUUAGAUUUAAGGUGUAUUAUGAUAAGUGUGAUAUUUUGUUUGAUUGUUAUUGAUCUUUUGUUUGAUUGUUAUUGAUCAACUUUCUGUUUGAUGGGAUAUAUAUUUAUAUUAUGGAUAUUCUUCUUCUUCUUAAUAUUUUGAUAAUGAAUUUUGGAUGCUUCCACCAGAUAAGAUUUCAUUGUUCCUAAGAUGAAGGGUUUUGGAACUUUAUAAAAUAUACUUCCUUUCUUUGAAAUGAAUUAGAGCAUGCUAUGCAUGACAUAUUGGGGUAAGUUUGUUCUUUUCAAUACUUUACUAGUGGAAUCCCACUUCCGUUGCAUUCUCUAACCAAAGAAUGGAGUGAUGUAUGUACUGAUAACAACAUUUCUAUAGGAUUUGCUUAAGCGGGUAGAGGGAUAAGAAUGGAUUUGUGGCGUUUUUAUAAUAUUUUAAUUUUUUUUAUUUUUCAUGACCUUUAGCGGAAUUUUUGAGAAAAGCGCCGCUAAAGAACAUGACCUUUAGCGGCGUUUGUGGGGAAAGCGCCACUAAAGGUCAUGUUCCAUAGCAGCCUUUUUCUAUAUAAACGUCGUAAAAUUUAUCAGCGUUAACUAUAACGGAGUUUUUUGCGGCUCUUGUCAAAACGCCAUAAAUUGCCGCUAUAGACCCAAAAAAAUGCCACUAAAAACCUAUUUUACUGUAGUGAUUGAACCUAAAAAUUUACUUCUCUUUAUCCCUACCUUUAGCCUAGCCAUGUUACAACCUAGUAAAAGACCUAUUGAUUUGAUGAUUAUACUGACUACAUUAGUGGAGAGGAAUUGCUAAGCUCAACAUAUGAAUACCACUAUUUAAACCUUGUGAUUUCUAUGUUUAGAUUGAUAAGGAAAGCUUAUUGAUUGGUGAAUGUUAUAUAAGAAUUUGAAAUGAAUGCAUACUCUGACUCAUAUUGACAAUAUUUUUUUUACUUAAUAUAAAGUUUGGGAAUAAUAUUUGCAUUGAGUUACUUAUUAGUAAAAAUAAUUUGUGAGCAUGAUUUUAUUGAUGCAUGAUUAUAUGCAAAGACUAAUGUUGCUAAACCAUAUUGCAAAAUUGCCUUAGCAAAAGUUGUGUUGUGCCUAAACAUUACUCGAGACAAUAAAUGGUUUAAGUUUGAGAGUGUUUAACCUUGAAAUUAUAUAGGAUUUUUUAUAUUUUUUUUAACAUCUUUUGACUAAAUAAUUAUAUUAAUAUUGAGUAAUUGUUAAUAAACUAAGUGGAUUUUGCUUAAAUGUUAAUAUGAGACAUGAAUUUAGAAAGUAUGUGAAAUUAUGCUUUAUUACAUGAUUUUUAAGCAUAAAUUAUAUUAUUUUCAUGUUUAUUAUUAAUAUGUGAUUUUUAUUAUGCAAUGGGUCCAUGGAAGAUGAGAUUACCAUAAGGAUGCAUGGACAUGGACACAUCCACCUUACUUGGAUGGUAAAACUAAGCAAAAUUAUAAGGAUGCUAAUUUGACCCAGUUAAAGUGUGUUACAAAAUGGACAUGUUUGAUUAAUUCGAGGUCCCUGUAGUUGAAAUUUAUUCAGAAAUUUACACACAAACUAUGCCUUUGGAACCAUCCACUCUAUGUUAAUUAUAACAUGAUUUUAUGUUUGAAAUACUAAACCAAACCACCUCCCUUUCCACAAUUUGUGCCCGACCAUGCAAUGGAGAAGAUGGAGGGAUUUUUAACUCUAUUUUUAGUUGGCUUCACCCUCACCUUCACCUAUAAAUACCACACUACUCAUCCCUUCAUUCAUAUCAUAUUUCUCAGUCUACAUUUUUUUUCUCUCAUUCUAUUUCCCUUUUCUUUUCCCCAUACCUAGCCACUCUAUUUUCCCUUCCAUUAUUUAGCCAAAAAAAGCCUUACAAGAUGAUCUCGUAGUUAGCCAGCUUGAGAAACCCUUAGUAAAGGAGCAAUGGACAGAUCAGAGAAACACCUCAGUCAAAAAGAUUUGAAAGGCUGCUAGAUUGAAUUAGAGUUUACUCUUUCCUCCUUGUUGUUUAAUUUAAACAUGUUUGCUAAGUGUUUAUUGAUCUUGCAAUCAACAAUGAUAGCUUAAUUUCGUUUAGUUAGGAAGAUUAUGUUAAUUCAAUAAUAUUUUUUUGAUUCAUGUUUAAUGUGUUUGUGCCUCAGUCAAUCAUGUUUUCAAUUAAAAUCAAGAUGUAUUUCACUCAUACGUGAUUGGAUGCAUUCAGACUAGCUGAGCGAUCCUAACCAGAUGACGGCUAGUAGACACAUAAUUGAAUAGAGCAAUGCUCAAUUUAGAUCACUAAAUCUGACUAAAUUAGAGGUUCAUAAUAUCUUUAAUUAGUUCUAUUAUCUUGCAUAGUUUUUAGGUUAAUGUGAUUAAACCGUUUCAAACUUAAUAGUCCAUGUUACCUCGCAUAAAUAUUAAGAAACCCUUAGUUUAAUAUGAUCAAUAAAAUGUAUGUUUCACUAAGUAAAAGAUCCGAAAUGACUUAAUUUGGUUUCUAAACUCAUGAAAGAUCGAGUUGCCAUGGAAUGUUUUUCGAACACUGUUAAGCAUGAUGAAAAUAAAUUAAGUUGAUUAAUGUAAUUAUCCUAGCCUAUACAUGUUAUUGAUUGUUGAAGUUGUGUUUUUGUUGCUAAAAUUCAUUCAUACAUUAGAUAAUUUUGCAUAUUUAGUUUAAAAUUGCAUUAGGGAUCAAUUUUUCAUCUAGUUAAGUCAUCAUCACUCAAAUUAUUGUGUUUUUUUACCAAAUUGUGAAUUUAUAAUUUUGCAAAUAAUCAAUUAACACACACAGUCCCUGUGGAGACGAUAACUCAUUUUACUUACUUAUUACUUGAAUGAUGAAUGACUGUGUACACUUUCACAAAAAUUCCAUUACAAUAGGAUCUUCCGAUUACAAUAACAUAAAAAACCUAAAUAGAAAUUAAGAGUGAAAUAAAAACCCCAAGUAUAUUUUCUAUCUCCAUAAAUUUGUGUUUAAACUAAUUACAAUGUCUUUUAUAUAGUUUAAAAUCAGAAUAUUAAAAUGCGUAAAAUAUUCUUGAAGUCCUUAGAGUUCGACUAGGACAUAUACUUCUAAUUUCCCUAAAAAACGUAAUUAAAACGUGCAGGAGUUUUUGGGCUGCACAGGGGCUUGGUUGCAACAUAGACCUACGAUGCUAUAACCAACCUCGAGAGUAUGUCGUGACAGAGGAGGGCUGUGUCAUGACAUCGAGGCCAGUUUCACUCCAGAACUUGUUUUUGGCUUCUAUCUUCGAUGUUGAGACAUUAGUGUCUUGGUGUUACGAUGUAGGCAUCAGUUUUGGCCCGAAUAAGCAUCUUUAGCUCCAGAUUUGACCUACAAGACCAUGUAACCUUAUUUAGAUAUAUAAAAUGUAAUUAAAAAAACUACUAGAAAGCAUAUAUUUCUACUUUAAGUAUGAAAACCUUAAUAUAUUCUAAGAUGCUUUCAUUUAACUAUCAAACAAGCUAAAGUUAUGUGUAAAAAGGAUGUAAAUAAUAAUGUAUUUCAUGGCAGAUUAGUUAUAUUAUAAGUAAUCUGGUUAGAAAUCAACUGGAUAGCCUAAUUUGAUAAUUGUGAAUGUAGGGUGCUCAUUUAUGUUUUUUCUCGGUAACUGUAGACUAUUAAGAAGGUAAAUUCUAACAUACGUGACACUUUUCAAGUUCCAUUAAAUGGGUUGGGUUGUAUAUAUAUAUGUGAAAUGGUUCUGAAAAGGGGUUUUCUUCUUCUCCUAGAAAAUUUUGUUCUUUGAUUCUUUUUCAUAUACAAAUGGUAAUUCCUUCUUUCUAAGCUGGAAGCUAAGGAUCUGGAACUAAUCAGUGGUUAUCACAUCCUUGGUUAAGUAUGAUAGUUCUGCAUGUUAGAUUCUAAAAGAGUAAAUCUGUAAUGAGUGUAUGAACAGUAAGAUGUAUGUAUAAGGCUUUGCAUGAAGGUUGUAAAUAUUUUAGAUGAUGGUAAAUUGUAUAUGUGUAAGUCCUUAAUAUUGUUUCUAUGUUCUGUUAGCAGUUGUUGCUACUAAAUCGUAUUAGAUGUUCAAGUAUGGAGUUUUGAAAUAUUGUAGUAGGUGAAAAUGAGGCGAGUCUUUAACUGACUCUUUUAUAUGAACUA
Molecule: long non-coding RNA, 7447 nt
Filed under: Gossypium barbadense (sea-island cotton)
Lineage: Eukaryota; Viridiplantae; Streptophyta; Magnoliopsida; Malvales; Malvaceae
Description: long non-coding RNA (GBAR_LNC002483)
Source: RNAcentral